Molecule: ribosomal RNA, 253 nt
Filed under: uncultured bacterium
Lineage: Bacteria
Description: partial 16S ribosomal RNA
Rfam family: Bacterial small subunit ribosomal RNA
Source: RNAcentral
UACAGAGGUCCCGAGCGUUGUUCGGAUUCAUUGGGCGUAAAGGGUGCGUAGGCGGUCUGCUAAGUUUGAUGUGAAAUCCCGGGGCUCAACCCUGGAAUGGCAUUGAAUACUGGCGGACUAGAGUACCGGAGAGGAAACUGGAAUUUACGGUGUAGCAGUGAAAUGCGUAGAGAUCGUAAGGAAGACCAGUGGCGAAGGCGGGUCUCUGGACAGUUCCUGACACUGAGGCACGAAGGCCAGGGGAGCAAACGGG